GCAAGUCGAACGAGAUCUUCGGAUCUAGUGGCGGACGGGUUAGUAACGCGUGGGAACGUACCCUUCACUACGGAAUAGUCCCGGGAAACUGGGUUUAAUACCGUAUACGCCCUUCGGGGGAAAGAAUUUCGGUGAGGGAUCGGCCCGCGUUAGAUUAGUUAGUUGGUGGGGUAAUGGCCUACCAAGACUACGAUCUAUAGCUGGUUUGAGAGGAUGAUCAGCAACACUGGGACUGAGACACGGCCCAGACUCCUACGGGAGGCAGCAGUGGGGAAUCUUAGACAAUGGGGGCAACCCUGAUCUAGCGAUGCCGCGUGAGUGAUGAAGGCCUUAGGGUCGUAAAGCUCUUUCGCCUGUGAUGAUAAUGACAGUAGCAGGUAAAGAAACCCCGGCUAACUCCGUGCCAGCAGCCGCGGUAAUACGGAGGGGGUUAGCGUUGUUCGGAAUUACUGGGCGUAAAGCGCACGUAGGCGGAUUAGUCAGUCAGAGGUGAAAUCCCAGGGCUCAACCCUGGAACUGCCUUUGAUACUGCUAGUCUUGAGUUCUAGAGAGGUAAGUGGAAUUCCGAGUGUAUUGGUGAAAUUCGUAUAUAUUCGGAGGAACACCAGUGGCGAAGGCGGCUUACUGGCUCGAUACUGACGCUGAUGUGCGAAAGUGUGGGGAGCAAACAUGAUUAGAUA
This 680-nucleotide ribosomal RNA is filed under the name Celeribacter sp. RNAcentral describes it as "bacterial SSU rRNA". It matches the Rfam family "Bacterial small subunit ribosomal RNA", at positions 57 to 784 of the family's 1533-position model. The record is from RNAcentral. Lineage: Bacteria; Pseudomonadati; Pseudomonadota; Alphaproteobacteria; Rhodobacterales; Roseobacteraceae.